Molecule: ribosomal RNA, 497 nt
Filed under: uncultured bacterium
Lineage: Bacteria
Description: partial 16S ribosomal RNA
Rfam family: Bacterial small subunit ribosomal RNA
Source: RNAcentral
GACGAACGCUGGCGGCGUGCCUAAUACAUGCAAGUAGAACGCUGAAGAGAGGAGCUUGCUCUUCUUGGAUGAGUUGCGAACGGGUGAGUAACGCGUAGGUAACCUGCCUUGUAGCGGGGGAUAACUAUUGGAAACGAUAGCUAAUACCGCAUAACAAUGGAUGACACAUGUCAUUUAUUUGAAAGGGGCAAUUGUUCCACUACAAGAUGGACCUGCGUUGUAUUAGCUAGUAGGUGAGGUAAUGGCUCACCUAGGCGACAAUACAUAGCCGACCUGAGAGGGUGAUCGGCCACACUGGGACUGAGACACGGCCCAGACUCCUACGGGAGGCAGCAGUAGGGAAUCUUCGGCAAUGGGGGCAACCCUGACCGAGCAACGCCGCGUGAGUGAAGAAGGUUUUCGGAUCGUAAAGCUCUGUUGUAAGUCAAGAACGGGUGUGAGAGUGGAAAGUUCACACUGUGACGGUAGCUUACCAGAAAGGGACGGCUAACUACGUG